GUCAAAAAUAAAAAAAAAUAUAUCGAAUCGAAUCGCUGUAGAAAAUUACUAAAAAUCACUAAAUAAACAGUAGUGAGAAUUAAAUUAAAUAGCAGACUAGAACAAUGGAUCCAAAACGGAAGCUAUCAACUUCGGGUGAUACGUUGUACGAGACGCUAGGAUUGCCAAAGACAGCCACUCCCGAUGACGUGAAGAAGACAUACAGAAAACUAGCCCUCAAAUAUCAUCCAGACAAGAACCCCGAUAAUCCAGAAGCGGCAGAAAAAUUCAAAGAAGUCAAUCGAGCACAUUCCAUUUUGAGUGAUCAGACAAAACGAAAUAUCUAUGACAAUUAUGGGUCGCUGGGCUUGUACAUUGCCGAACAAUUUGGCGAAGAAAACGUCAAUGCGUACUUUGUCGUCACCUCGCCCGCGUGCAAAGCAGCAUUCCUCGUUUGUUGCGUCGCUACCGGUUGUUUUUGUUGUUUCUGUUGUUGUUGCUGCUGCAACUUCUGCUUCGGCAAAUACAAACCUCAGCAUCCUGGCCAUCCAGAUAGCGGCGAUUACGAAGGACUCAAGAGAGAUGACGCCAGUAGUAGUAAUCUCAAUGAUGGGCCCGUCACAAGUCAACCAUCACGGAGGGAGGACUUUUCCGAUUUGGAUGACGUAACGGGCGGCAAUCCGAUCACGGGACAACCUACUGCGGGACAAGCAGGCGGCCAAAUGCCAGUUUUCGCAAUGCCCCCUCCCAAUCAAUCAGCAAAUCCCUUGAAUCCGUUCACGGGAGCUGCCGCCGCCACGGAAAGUACGGGCUUGAAUCAAGGAGGACAACCAACUUACACGCCUGGUUAUUAAACCUUUAAAUUAAAUUUAAAGUUCAAACAGGAAAGAAGUUUGUUCGUGUUUCACAAGUUCGUUUCAAAAAAAAAAAUGUCAGAACAAAUAUUUGACUUGAAAUUAAUUAAAAAAAAAUUAUAAAAAAAAUAAAACGCCGACCUCAAUAUAUUCCUUCUUUCUAAAUAUUAACUUAUACAUAUUAAUCACGUCUCUUUGGAUUGAUUGCUGACAUUUAAAAAUUAAAAAAAAAUAGUUAAGGAACAUUUUCGUUGUUCGUAAAUAUAAAAAAAAAAUAGUUCGUAAAACGGAAUUCGUCGAAAUAAUAUUAAAGGUAUGACAAAUUAUUAAAAAAGUAAAUAAAAUCCAGGAUCAAAGUUGCUAGGAAGACCGAUUUUGAACAUAAAUUGACACCGUUCGUUUGUUUCUACUAUAGGAAUUCAUCCAAAUGCAUGAAUAAUAUAUAAAUUUAUGUGAAAAUUCUUUUUUUGGAAGCCAAACAUUUAAUUAUAAGUGUUAAUUAUAAAAAUUUAAUCAUUUUGUAGUUUCUUUUCUCCUAAUAAUUAUUAUUAUUAUAUAUCAUUACCACAUUUUUAUUGAAAAAAAAAAUCCAUUUCAAGGCCCUCAGUAUUAAUAUUUGCCUUGCGAUUUGACUUGAUUUUUUUUUAUUUAGGAAAAUUUAAAUAAAAAAUUGUUUUAAAAUUAAAUUAUUAAAAAUUGUCACAAAAAAUAAUCACAAUUAUAUGAAUGUAUAUGUAAUAAAAGUAAAAUUAAUAAAAAAAAAACCUGAAAAAUGAAGAAGAUAAAUAAUAAUA
This is an RNA transcript of Culicoides brevitarsis, 1627 nucleotides long. It is a transcript of the gene named dnaJ homolog subfamily C member 5 homolog, with no coding region annotated. The record is from RefSeq and is a predicted model, not a curated record. The transcript is spliced from 9 exons. Lineage: Eukaryota; Metazoa; Arthropoda; Insecta; Diptera; Ceratopogonidae.